This 742-nucleotide ribosomal RNA is filed under the name Piromyces sp. RNAcentral describes it as "LSU rRNA". It matches the Rfam family "Eukaryotic large subunit ribosomal RNA", at positions 54 to 645 of the family's 3401-position model. The record is from RNAcentral. Lineage: Eukaryota; Fungi; Neocallimastigomycota; Neocallimastigomycetes; Neocallimastigales; Neocallimastigaceae.
AGGAAAAGAAACUAACAAGGAUUCCCUUAGUAACGGCGAGUGAAGCGGGAAGAGCUCAAAUUUGAAAUCUUCAAGGUUUUACCUUGACGAAUUGUAGUUUAAAGAAGUGUUUUCUGUUGAAGUUUUGGUAAAAGUUCUUUGGAAUAGGACAUCAUAGAGGGUGAGAAUCCCGUAUUUGACCAUUAUUUUCAGCUGUGUGAUACACUUUCAAAGAGUCGGAUUGUUUGGGAAUGCAGUCCAAAAUGGGUGGUAAAUUUCAUCUAAAGCUAAAUAUUGGCGAGAGACCGAUAGCGAACAAGUACCGUGAGGGAAAGAUGAAAAGAACUUUGAAAAGAGAGUUAAACAGUACGUGAAAUUGUCAAAAGGGAAGCGUUUGACACCAGUGUUGUUUUCUCGAAAAUCAAUUAAAAAAAGUUGGAUUUUGUGUUGUAUUGACCUUAACAGCUUGCUUCACUCUUUUCCUGCUUUUUUUAAUGCACUUUUCGUUUAACAAGUCAACAUCAGUUUCUUUUGUUGUAAAAGGGUCAUUGGAAGGUGGCUUUCUCUUCGGAGAAAGUGUUUAUAGCCUUUGAUCUCUGCAAUCGGAGAGACUGAGGUCUGCAGCGUAGAUCCUUCGGGGUUAGAUACAUUUGUGCUAAGCUACAGCUUUUCAUAGACAACUUGUUGACUAUGUUUAGUCUUGUGACUUACCCGCUUAUGCUAUUUUACCUACGCUUAGGAUGUUGACAAAAUGGUUUUAAAC